This 497-nucleotide ribosomal RNA is filed under the name uncultured bacterium. RNAcentral's name for it is "partial 16S ribosomal RNA". It matches the Rfam family "Bacterial small subunit ribosomal RNA", at positions 28 to 507 of the family's 1533-position model. The record is from RNAcentral.
GAUGAACGCUGGCGGCGUGCCUAAUACAUGCAAGUCGAGCGAACGGACGAGAAGCUUGCUUCUCUGAUGUUAGCGGCGGACGGGUGAGUAACACGUGGAUAACCUACCUAUAAGACUGGGAUAACUUCGGGAAACCGGAGCUAAUACCGGAUGAUAUUUUGAACCGCAUGGUUCAAAAGUGAAAGACGGUCUUGCUGUCACUUAUAGAUGGAUCCGCGCUGCAUUAGCUAGUUGGUAAGGUAACGGCUUACCAAGGCAACGAUGCAUAGCCGACCUGAGAGGGGGAUCGGCCACACUGGAACUGAGACACGGUCCAGACUCCUACGGGAGGCAGCAGUAGGGAAUCUUCCGCAAUGGGCGAAAGCCUGACGGAGCAACGCCGCGUGAGUGAUGAAGGUCUUCGGAUCGUAAAACUCUGUUAUUAGGGAAGAACAUAUGUGUAAGUAACUGUGCACAUCUUGAUGGUACCUAAUCAGAAAGCCACGGCUAACUACGUG